RNAcentral lists this non-coding RNA (27 nucleotides) under Rattus norvegicus (Norway rat). The record is from RNAcentral. Lineage: Eukaryota; Metazoa; Chordata; Mammalia; Rodentia; Muridae.
UGCCAAUAUUCCUGAGUCAGUGGCAUU